RNAcentral lists this long non-coding RNA (918 nucleotides) under Equus caballus (horse). RNAcentral describes it as "lncRNA (ENSECAG00000044653.1)". Lineage: Eukaryota; Metazoa; Chordata; Mammalia; Perissodactyla; Equidae. The record is from RNAcentral.
CUGUCAAGUUCCUAAAACUCUGCGAGGUUCGUUAGCUCCACCAAUUCUGCUGGCACAGCAUCUUCUCCACCCACUCCUUUCUCUUUAUUUACACUGUCACUCCUCUGGGUCUGCCCUCUGCUUUCCUGGUAAACCAUGAUUUUUCUCCUACUGAACCACGAGUCAGUUCACUCCCGGCACCCUGAGGCCCCUGUGAAGGGAUCUGCGGUACUGACAACAGCAGGAAGGCAAGCACUCCACGGGUUUGGACUGGAAAGUGGCACUUGGGAUGUUCUUUUUUGGCUCCUUCUCUCCGGCCAUCCUGAGACCAAUUCUAAUUCUAAAAAUAAUCACAAGAUGUUCCAUUAAGGAUUUUCAACUGAAAAGCAGAACAGCAGAAUCCAAUUCAUGAAAAGGCUCCCAACCAGAGCCCUGGGAGGGACUGCUGAGCUGUGAGCUGCUCUAGCAAAUGAACCGACCCCAAGGAAGAGACCACUGGGAAUCUCCAACCUGCAGCCAGUGGGCCAGAAGCACAGGGGCCUUCGUGGUAUUUACGAGCCUUGACCUCCUCCUUUCAUCCAUGACAGUGACUAGCCACCUCUGAAGAGCCAGAGGUUAACUGAGCAUCCUCCCCUGGCCCCGGGAUGCUGGUUUGUCCGAGUCUCCCCAGAAAACUGAGCGCUGAUCCCCGACAACACGCAGUGGUCUAAACCGGCUCCCCAUCCGCGUGACCUCCCACACAGCCGGUCUUCCUUCUUCUUGCUAAACCCAAAUCUCGAUUUUGUUUGGGUGGCCGGUGUCCAGCCCCAGGAUGAAUCACACACCAGAAAGAAGAGAAUGGAAGUCUGGCCCUUGACCCUUUAACUGGCCUCAUAUGAAUUUCUUAAACAAAAGAUUAAAGAGCAGAGAUUUCUUUUAAAGGAAAAGAAAUUCAGGGGC